Molecule: ribosomal RNA, 483 nt
Filed under: Theileria lestoquardi
Lineage: Eukaryota; Apicomplexa; Aconoidasida; Piroplasmida; Theileriidae
Description: SSU rRNA
Rfam family: Eukaryotic small subunit ribosomal RNA
Source: RNAcentral
GGUAAUUCCAGCUCCAAUAGCGUAUAUUAAAAUUGUUGCAGUUAAAAAGCUCGUAGUUGAAUUUCUGCUGCAUUGCUUGUGUCCCUCCGGGGUCUGUGCAUGUGGCUUUUUUCGGACGGAGUUUCUUUGUCUGAAUGUUUACUUUGAGAAAAUUAGAGUGCUCAAAGCAGGCUUUUGCCUUGAAUAGUUUAGCAUGGAAUAAUAAAGUAGGACUUUGGUUCUAUUUUGUUGGUUUUAGGUACCAAAGUAAUGGUUAAUAGGAACAGUUGGGGGCAUUCGUAUUUAACUGUCAGAGGUGAAAUUCUUAGAUUUGUUAAAGACGAACUACUGCGAAAGCAUUUGCCAAGGAUGUUUUCAUUAAUCAAGAACGAAAGUUAGGGGAUCGAAGACGAUCAGAUACCGUCGUAGUCCUAACCAUAAACAAUGCCGACUAGAGAUUGGAGGUCGUCAGUUUUUACGACUCCUUCAGCACCUUGAGAGAAA